Conger conger (European conger) is the source of this 68-nucleotide small nucleolar RNA. Lineage: Eukaryota; Metazoa; Chordata; Actinopteri; Anguilliformes; Congridae. The record is from RefSeq and is a predicted model, not a curated record.
UUUCUGUGAGGAUAACUUUGUCCAGUUCUGCUACUGAAUCUAAGCGAUGAGAUUAAGACUCUGAGAAA